AACGGAUCGCGAGUAACCGGCCUCGGCCGAUGAAAGCAUCUCGUAAGUCGCUUCGCUUCGUACAUUCUUCCUUCACUCUCGAUUGUCGACCCUCUCCCUUGCGGGAGCACGGGUCGAUCGCUGUUUGACAACGGAUGUUAUUGGUAGAUCGUGGGAUUUUUUGAAUCCUUUAAGAGAUGACUUUUUCGCAAGAAAACGUCACUCGUUUAAACAAUGCGCGUAGUUCUGCUUGACGAAUUUUGUAGUCAAGCGAUAGAAGGCAUGUGGGGGAUGCCUGGGCACACGGAGGCGAUGAAGGCCGUGGUAAGCUGCGAGAAGCUCGGAGGAGUGGCACACACGCGGUGAUCCCGAGAUGG
This 356-nucleotide unclassified non-coding RNA is filed under the name uncultured Gemmatimonadota bacterium. RNAcentral describes it as "uncultured Gemmatimonadetes bacterium partial contains 16S ribosomal RNA, 16S-23S ribosomal RNA intergenic spacer, and 23S ribosomal RNA". The stretch from base 244 to 356 matches the Rfam family "Bacterial large subunit ribosomal RNA", at positions 1 to 113 of the family's 2925-position model. The record is from RNAcentral. Lineage: Bacteria; Pseudomonadati; Gemmatimonadota.